This 75-nucleotide transfer RNA is filed under the name Thermoproteota archaeon. RNAcentral describes it as "Crenarchaeota archaeon (sediment metagenome) tRNA-Val". It matches the Rfam family "tRNA". Rfam says of the family: Transfer RNA (tRNA) molecules are approximately 80 nucleotides in length. Their secondary structure includes four short double-helical elements and three loops (D, anti-codon, and T loops). Lineage: Archaea; Thermoproteati; Thermoproteota. The record is from RNAcentral.
GGGCUGGUGGUCGAGCCUGGUUAAGAUGCCUGCCUCACACGCAGGAGGGCCCCGGUUCAAAUCCGGGCCAGCCCA